AAACUUUCAACAACGGAUCUCUUGGUUCUGGCAUCGAUGAAGAACGCAGCGAAAUGCGAUAAGUAAUGUGAAUUGCAGAAUUCAGUGAAUCAUCGAAUCUUUGAACGCACAUUGCGCCCCUUGGUAUUCCGAGGGGCAUGCCUGUUCGAGCGUCAUUACACCACUCAAGCUCAGCUU
This 177-nucleotide ribosomal RNA is filed under the name Candelariella corviniscalensis. RNAcentral's name for it is "5.8S ribosomal RNA". The stretch from base 2 to 155 matches the Rfam family "5.8S ribosomal RNA". From Rfam's summary of the family: 5.8S ribosomal RNA (5.8S rRNA) is a component of the large subunit of the eukaryotic ribosome. Lineage: Eukaryota; Fungi; Ascomycota; Candelariomycetes; Candelariales; Candelariaceae. The record is from RNAcentral.